RNAcentral lists this ribosomal RNA (253 nucleotides) under uncultured bacterium. RNAcentral's name for it is "partial 16S ribosomal RNA". It matches the Rfam family "Bacterial small subunit ribosomal RNA", at positions 524 to 776 of the family's 1533-position model. The record is from RNAcentral.
UACGUAGGGUGCAAGCGUUGUCCGGAAUUAUUGGGCGUAAAGAGCUCGUAGGCGGCCCUGUAAGUCCGCUGUGAAAGUCAAAGGCUCAACCUUUGAAAGCCGGUGGAUACUGCAGGGCUAGAGUUCGGAAGAGGCGAGUGGAAUUCCCGGUGUGGCGGUGAAAUGCGCAGAUAUCGGGAGGAACACCUAUGGCGAAGGCAGCUCGCUGGGACGUUACUGACGCUGAGACGCGAAAGCGUGGGGAGCAAACAGG